GAUGAACGCUGGCGGCGUGCCUAAUACAUGCAAGUCGAGCGAACAGACGAGGAGCUUGCUCCUCUGACGUUAGCGGCGGACGGGUGAGUAACACGUGGAUAACCUACCUAUAAGACUGGGAUAACUUCGGGAAACCGGAGCUAAUACCGGAUAAUAUAUUGAACCGCAUGGUUCAAUAGUGAAAGACGGUUUUGCUGUCACUUAUAGAUGGAUCCGCGCCGCAUUAGCUAGUUGGUAAGGUAACGGCUUACCAAGGCAACGAUGCGUAGCCGACCUGAGAGGGUGAUCGGCCACACUGGAACUGAGCCACGGUCCACACUCCUACGGGAGGCAGCAGUAGGCACUCUUCCGCAAUGGGCGAAAGCUUGACGGAGCAACGCAGCGUUAGUGAUGAAGGUCUUCGGAUCGUAAAACUCUGUUAUUAGGGAAGAACAAAUGUGUAAGUAACUAUGCACGUCUUGACGGUACCUAAUCAGAAAGCCACGGCUAACUACGUG
This 497-nucleotide ribosomal RNA is filed under the name uncultured bacterium. RNAcentral describes it as "partial 16S ribosomal RNA". It matches the Rfam family "Bacterial small subunit ribosomal RNA", at positions 28 to 507 of the family's 1533-position model. The record is from RNAcentral.